RNAcentral lists this ribosomal RNA (668 nucleotides) under uncultured bacterium. RNAcentral's name for it is "bacterial SSU rRNA". It matches the Rfam family "Bacterial small subunit ribosomal RNA", at positions 8 to 650 of the family's 1533-position model. The record is from RNAcentral.
AGAGUUUGAUCCUGGCUCAGAACGAACGCUGGCGGAGUGCUUAAGACAUGCAAGUCGAGCGAGAAAGCCGUCUUCGGAUGGUGAGUACAGCGGCGAACGGGUGAGUAACGCGUGGAUAAUCUGCCUUCAGGUCUGGGACAACCUCGGGAAACUGGGGCUAAUACCGGAUGAGACUACGGGGACCUCGGUCCUUGCGGAAAAAGAUGGCCUCUCCUUGGAAGCUGUCGCCUGGAGAUGAGUCCGCGUUCCAUUAGCUUGUUGGUGAGGUAAAGGCUCACCAAGGCUUCGAUGGAUAGCUGGUCUGAGAGGAUGAUCAGCCACACUGGAACUGAGACACGGUCCAGACUCCUACGGGAGGCAGCAGUCGGGAAUCUUGGGCAAUGGGCGAAAGCCUGACCCAGCAACUCCGCGUGAGGGAUGAAGGCCUUCGGGUCGUAAACCUCUGUCAGAAGGGAAGAACAGUCGGCCGGUAAAUAGUCGGUCGGCCUGACGGUACCUUCAAAGGAAGCACCGGCUAACUCCGUGCCAGCAGCCGCGGUAAUACGGAGGGUGCGAGCGUUGUUCGGAAUCAUUGGGCGUAAAGCGGGUGUAGGCGGUUUGGCGAGUCGAGUGUGAAAUCCCAGGGCCCAACCCUGGAACUGCACUCGAUACUGCUUGACUAGAGUCCC